GACGAACGCUGGCGGCGUGCCUAAUACAUGCUAGUCGAACGCUGAAGGAGGAGCUUGCUUCUCUGGAUGAGUUGCGAACGGGUGAGUAACGCGUAGGUAACCUGCCUGGUAGCGGGGGAUAACUAUUGGAAACGAUAGCUAAUACCGCAUAAGAGUAGAUGUUGCAUGACAUUUGCUUAAAAGGUGCAAUUGCAUCACUACCAGAUGGACCUGCGUUGUAUUAGCUAGUUGGUGGGGUAACGGCUCACCAAGGCGACGAUACAUAGCCGACCUGAGAGGGUGAUCGGCCAAACUGGGACUGAGACACGGCCCAGACCUCUACGGGAGGCAGCAGUAGGGAAUCUUCGGCAAUGGACGGAAGGCUGACCGAGCAACGCCGCGGGAGGGAAGAAGGGUUUCGGAUCGGAAAGCUCUGUUGUAAGGGAAGAAAGGGUGUGAGGGUAGAAAGUUCACACUGUGACGGUAUCUUAACAGAAAGGGACGGCUAACUACGUG
This 495-nucleotide ribosomal RNA is filed under the name uncultured bacterium. RNAcentral's name for it is "partial 16S ribosomal RNA". It matches the Rfam family "Bacterial small subunit ribosomal RNA", at positions 28 to 507 of the family's 1533-position model. The record is from RNAcentral.